This 45-nucleotide non-coding RNA is filed under the name Schistosoma haematobium. Lineage: Eukaryota; Metazoa; Platyhelminthes; Trematoda; Strigeidida; Schistosomatidae. The record is from RNAcentral.
AUACAGCUGACGCGUCCAAAAUAGGACGAAAUGUGCGUCCUGGAU